CUCCCGGGAAGUGCGAUCAAACAUGUCAAGAUAAGUCGUUUAAGGACGUUUUACUGGCCAUGUUCGCCACGAAAAUAUACGGCACUUGCACAGACGAAUGUGGAUGCUUCAUUUGGAGCUGGAAAACAGUGGUGUGGAGCCUGAUCCGAGCCUGAUCCGCUUCCUGGAGGAGGCGAUUCAAAGUAAGGCUUUGAACAAAGAGCUUGAAACCCUUCUGUGUGCCAGAGAGUAGCGGGGCACUGUGCAUCAAAAUAUCAGCGCAGGUUGAAAGGCGCAAAAUAAGCUCCGCAAAAUUCUCGUCUGUGACCAACGCUGCAACCAGGAAUAGCUCUGAUCGUCGCCUUCAUCCACCUUGUGGGUAAGAUCAGUGAGUGUUUCCCAUGCUGGGGCUGAAAGAGGUGCCACUCACAUUCUUAGGUUCUCUUUCGUUGCCUUCUUUCUUCCUGCUGUUGUUUUUCAGGUAGAUUCCUCUGUAAAAACCUGGACGCCGCCCUGGAAUGUUGCGACAUUUGGGUGCGUUUCUAUCUCUAGCUGUGUGAGAUUGUUGACUCAUAAUUCAAUUCAAUACACAUCUCAGAUUUAAAAAAUGAUGCCAAAGGAAAGGAAUUGGAUAAAAGUUAAUAGAUGCUUGUCCUUCAUGGGAAAAAAAAACUACAGUGUUGGGAAGAUAUUUUUGGACACGUGCCUUCUACAGUGUGCUAAUGGCUGCACUAUUAAACAUUAAAUUCAGCUUAGUUAUUCAUUGACUUUUGAACAAUGUUGAGAACCGGCAUAUUGAAACUGUUAAUAAUAUAGUUGUGUGUAUACCUGACAACAAAAAAAAAAAAAAAAAAUGAGGUUUGGGUAAAAUCUAUAGGUUGUCCAAAAACUUUUUCCCACCAGUGUAUAUUGUUUAUUUUUUAAUUCAUAUUUUUUCAACAAUAAAGGUCAUGUCAUUUUUAUGCAACUGUUAGGGCGAUUAAAAAAAAAAAAGUGUUUUCUCAGCAAAACUUCCAGAAGACAAGCCUACGCUGGCGGAGUCCUCACCUGAAGACCACAAACACUCCUCCUUGACUCCGAGUUUGUAGGAGCAAACUUUCCCACAGAACUUUCCCUGGCUGUCAGUAUUCACUCUCCUGUCUACCUGCUGCCCCUUUGAUACUCCUGCCCCAAACUCCUCAAAUUCACCAGAGAGUUCUUCGGAAUUCAUAAGAACCCGUGUCUGGCAGUAGAUGUGUGACUGACCACACGUUCACCCGCUUGAUGAAGUGAGCAAGGCUGGAAGGUUGAAGAGGCUGGAUGUCCGAUCUCGGCAAACGCCAUUAAAGAUAAAGGAGUGUGCGGUCAGAGAUGUGGGGAAGCAGCCCGGGCAGGUGUGUGGGCAGUGGGAGAUGACACCCUCCUCUCACAGCAUCACAAAAUAGGCUGAAACUUCCCGCAGUAAUGAGAUGGGGCCCAGACUAUCGGGGUCAAUUAUUCAUUGCUAGUCAGCUGGGAGAGAUGGGGAGCUGGUGAAGCCUUAUCGAAUCAUACAACACUUCUCGUUGCCUCCAUCCACACAUCUAAAUCUAAGUCUUGUCUGGAAGGAGUGUAACUUUAAAAGGCAUACAUGAGUGGCCGCUCACUCCAGUGUCCAGAAAGCAGCAGCUCGGCUUCUUCUCUGGCCUCACAAUUACUCUGUUGAAUGGACAGCCAUUGAUCAUCCCCUCGCUGCGGCUCCAGCUCCAGCAUUAUGCAUACUGUCGACCAAGUCAGGACACGUAUCAAAGGGAAUCACUCAAAACUUGUUGUUCUGUGCCAAACAUGAAUUUCUCCCUGGGUUUUGAGUUAAGGGCGUGUGUGGGAAAACAAAGGCUCCUUCAACCCUGAAGAGUAAAGACACAAUCUUGAUGACUGCUUUUGCAUUCAAGGACAAAUGAAGCAUGUGUCUUUCAGCUUCAUUUUUCAGUUCUUUGACAAGAAGAUGAUCCAUUUAUGUCACAGAUUGCGGGGGGAAUUCACGUAUUUCAUGUCUUUUUUAAUCAACAAGAACAGACCAUAUUUCGUCCGCCUGCGUUGGCUGUGCUUCUUUCUCUCUCCUCUGGCUAAGGUUUCAUCAGCAUUUGUUGAAAACCCAACAGUUUGCAUGUACAAGGAUGAUUUAUCAAAUAUCUGUACGCAAAAACAUCUUCUCUUUCUCUCUCAGCAUGAUCUGACAAAGUCUCAGUGUAGGGUUCUUCGUGCCACAGUGACAAAUGCUGUCCAGAGGAUGGAUGACUGGUCUGUUCUUUAUUGUGAAGAAGGAGGUCAAGGGUCCAGAAGUCCAGAAACGUGAGUCCCAAGUUCUUCUCUGUCCAGUUAUCUGAGAAAAGAGUCUGUUUUUAGGGUUUAAUCUUUUCAGUUAAGCGUCGUGAACUUGCUGUUUCUGUUUUGUUCUGAAUGACAUUGCUUCUCCCCAAACUCGCCCUGCUGCAAAGCAGUAAACACACAAUGUCUCAUUUAAAUAGACAUCUAUGCUUCUUUGUAAAUCCCACGGAACUGUGAAACAAAUAGUCCGACGUGGAUUUGAUGCAUCGUGUUUCAUGGUUGCAAUGUUGUCAUUAAGCACCUUGGGUUUAAGGUGAAGCAAAAAAACUAAGAUUAAAUUAGCUUAGAUAUCUUUAUAUAGAUGGGAAAGUUGUCGGCCUGGGUUCGAUCCCAAUUGUUUCCACUUGGGAAAGUUUUCACAUCUGGCUUCCAUGACUUUUGCGUCCUGUACUGACGCCAAGGGCUCGAGGCCGAGCGUAAACCUUCACUGUUGCAUGCUAGGUUUUCCUUCUCCAUGUCACAACAUGCCAAUUGUUAUUUAAGAACCGUCAAACGUGCUUUUGAAGAAGAAGAAUGACUUUUAUUGCCAUGUGUUAUCUAAAGAUUUAUUUAAACAACCACAUCAACCAUUCGCUGCAAUGACAUGCUAAUGUUAUCGUGCUAUUUUAAUGAGCAUUUACAACUCUUUUAGUCAGUUCCUGUACUGCACCCAAUGCUAUUGCUAAUAGCAAUAGCAAAUCGCUAAUGUUAAUGCUGUUCUAAUUGCUAUAUUGAUGCUUUGCGCUUAAGUUACUGUUCAUUCGAUGCCACGUCAGUUACUUGAAUUUGACUUCAGUUUUUUUUCUAUAUUUAUUCUUUGAGAAAUUUUAACCUGACAAAGUAUGAAAGCUGAAAAUAUUGUUUAACUAAUUUGUAGCACUAUAAUGUGGGCUACACCCAGGCUUACGAUAGGUACAGGAGUCAAACAAAUCUGUUAAAAAAUGAUAUUCUAAGUGAGUCAUAAUUGCUCAUGCAUAUUUUAUAGAAGGUAGAGUUGAUAAGAUCCUUUGUGCAUUCCUUUAUGUGCGUGUAAUUACCGCCGGUUCCUCUAUCACCAAGAAACAUAACAGAGCCCCCUGAUUUUCGACUACAAGCAAAUGUCCUCCUGGAGGGCAUGUGGCGAGCGCCGGUCGUCCAGCGCAGACAUCCAUCACAGAAAAUGAAGUAAAAACAUGUGGAAGGGAGAUUCUGCUUUUUAUUAAAAGUCAUCAUUCCCAUGAAUAUAUGUGCAAAUCAAUGGGGCGUCUCACACUGAGAGCGACCGUGUGGCGGCCAAGACAAAGUGUAUUUGUGUGGGAGAUGAAAAAUCAUCGCCAGUGCGAAUGCAGAUAUGGUGGCGGCCUCACACUCCUGCCCGUGUCACCCUCCAUUCGUCACUGUCGGCGAGUCUGCCUCUCAUUAAGUGGCCCCGCUCCGGAGGCAACUUAAUUUCCUUAAGAGGACCAGACACCUGAUUCAAUUGUGAGCCCAUUACGGAUUUGUUUUUCACUCCUCGGCCUUGCUGGGACGACAAAGCUCUGAGCAGAAAUAUACUCCCACUCUAUUAAAUGUGCUGGACAUAAUUCCCAGACACAUGAUUCAUGUCUCUCUCCUGCUGCUCAUCCUUCACUACCGAGCCCACGUGGCGCCGUCAGCUGAGCUCCGGAGGCUCAGCUGCUGUAUCAUCGCUAUUCAAAUAUACAUCUGAUGCUGUGUGUAUUUCUGGAAAUGGAAAUUAAUCUGUGGUUUUCCCCUUAUCGAUGUAGAACACUUGUGAAAUUUAGGGGGAAAAGUCAAUGGGGGAAAGACAUAUUAUAUCCACCUGAAUGAGCUGCUGGCAGCGUUUGAUAUUUUGGUAGAUUUUUUUUUUUUUUUUUUCAUCAUAUUUAGGCUUGUUUGUGUCAAAAUGUACUACAGAGCUGUGUAGGGCUCCCAUGCUCUGUAGAGAGUCAGUUGCAAUAACCAAUCACAUCUGGAGUCUGUACGUGUCUGUAAGGUCUCGCGAAAGCGCAAAGAUUCGUUCUCAAUUGCAUCUGAGACCAACUGGUUGGAUGUUUUUUUUGUUUUUUUUUUAAUAAACUUUAUAAGCUAAUAACAUGGCAUAUUAAAUGCACAAUCUCUCAGACAAACUUAUUUAAGCUCACAGUGGACUUUUGUUGGAAAACUUAUCUUGUAAAAUUGCAGUUCAUUUUUCAGUUUUGACUGGAUCCUAGUUUCAAGUACUGUAGUAGCCUGUACCAGGGUGAGUAUGUGUGAUUCUAUUGGGAUUCUUUAGCCGUUGUGUCAUUUUAAUGGUUUUAUGUCGUGUAUUCAUCUAGGUGUGAUAUCACCGAAGGCCCGGCAUAAAAUGCUCAGCCGCCACUGCAGUAUGUACUGGGCAAGUUCAACUCAACAUUAGCAAAACAUGAGCAGACAUUUCUUUGUUUUACUUCAGUAAUAAUGAUAUCUCAGUGCAUGAGUCGCAGGAAUAUAAAUCAGAUUAGACUAUGUUAUUGACAAACACAGUGCGUCGUCCAAACGUGUCAGUUUUAUUGUGGAGUCUCGGGAACAGUCGGGAGAAGGCUGAAGUCUUUGGAUGACAGGUGAGUCAGUGACACUUCUCUUUAAGCUCUCAUCUGUAAUACAUUAUUAGUACAUUCAUAAGACAUGAUAAUGCCUUCGUAAGACUUCAAAUAAUAUGUUAUCAAUGUUUAUAAUUAUGUCCAGUAAUUUAUGACAAGUUUUAUAAAGCAUUUUAAGUUGUGAAGACGCAGGAACCCUGGACCAAAAUCCUUAUGUGAAUAACACCGUUUUCUCAUACUGUUAUAAGUUGUCGUUCAUGAUUGUAAACAUAUAUCCCAUCAUCUAUAAAGUCUUAUAAAUACUGUAUGUUAUGAUGUCUUAUGAAUGUACUUAGAAUGCAUCAGAGAUGAGACCUUCAUAUACUGUAGUGUAACUGGCUUGUUUCUAGCAUCAGAACAAGCAAGUAGUGGCCAUACAAAAACAGAGGCCAGUCACGUUGGUAGAGACUCACACACACACACACACACACACACACACACACACACACACACACACACACACACACACACACACACACACACACACACACACACACACACACACACACACACACACACACACACACACACACACACACACACACGCUAGCAGAAGCUAAACCAGAGGAACGCCAUGGAAUCAAACUAACUAUUGCCGGAAGAACCUUCGACAAACAAAUAGGCCAAACAAAAAUCAAAACCAAAUAAAUCAUGACAACAUUAUCAUAUCAUGACAGUCGCUAUUUGCUUGGCUAAAUGUGAAAAAAACUCUGACACUCAUGGUUACGCCAGCGACAGCGCCGAAGAAUGGGUCUCAUUAUAAAUCUUUCUCUUCUCUCGAUAAAUUUAAAAUCGGGGAAGCUUUUGUUGUCCAGCUGAAAUGCUAUUAGCAUUUUAGAAAGAAAAAAAAAAUGCUUCUUUAGAGGAGAAAAAGAUUCGACUCACCUUACUGGUCCAAAGUACAAACACACUGGUGAUGAUUAAAACUCAUGACAAACCUCUCAGAAUCUGUAUAAUAAUUAUCAUAAUAAUAGAUUGAAGAAAUCACUUUCCGGAAGCAUCAGUUUGAGUGUUCUUCAAUGUAAUUUUGGACGGGGAUAUAGCCUUGUUAUUGGGAUGAUUGAUGUGUAUCUUGUCAACCAGAGUCCGUAAAUUAUUUACCGACUUCUCAGUCCGACAGCUCCUUCCUCCAUCGUCUUUGAAAUGCAGACAACAGAAGAUGUUUCGCCAGCUCAGGCGAGACCUCCACGUCCGCUUGACUGCUGGUCUCUCCGGUUUACCUUUCACCUGCGCCUGUCAGCAAAAUGGCAGCCAUCAGAGACGAAGGUAAAAACGGAUCUGGCUCUCGUGUUUAGCUGAUCGCCUCUGAAAUUUCACCGUCACGACUUUAAUCCGCGAGAUGUGAGCGUGUUUGAUAUCAGAUGCUCGCACACUAAAGCCUCGUGUAUUCAUUUAUUUAUUAUCCUCCUCUCUUUUACAAGCUACCUGUCAGCUACCUCCAAAUCACUGCUUUGAGAACUCGGCUUUUUUUCCCCUUUCCAAAGUCCUGAUAGGGUUGUCGGUGUCUGAUUGGAUUGUGUUGUUGGCAUUUGAUAUUGUGGAUUCUGAUGAUGUCUGACAGUAACACCAACGGCCUGCACGUGAAGAACUGGACUCUCAAGCGAUUCAUUAUUUGAUUCUUAAGCUCGCAGCGUUUUAAUUCAGAGUUAACUUGAACCAAUUUGGACGACACAUCUGACAUCUACAUCUUCAUGCAUUGAAAAAGAGAAAAGCUAAAAUAUUAAACAUUACAAAAAUAAAACAAAAUAAAUUCUAACAAACAUUUGAAAGAAACCCAAGAAAGAAAAGACAUUUCACAUUUAAAACUUCAUUAUACAUGUCAACUUCAAUGACUGACUCGGCAGUGAAACUCACUCCCAUCGAUAUUUUAAGUCUCAUAAUGCACUGCAACACCUAGCAGUUAACAAAGUCAGAGCAAUAAUUCUGUCAAAUUCCUGACUUGAAGUGGACACUUUCUUUUUCUUAUUUUAAAGCAUGAAUGUGUCUUUACGUCCCAGACAUUGGCGUUCGCAUCUACCAAAAAAACACAACCCAUUUUGCUGACAAUCCAGGAACUAUUCAUGGACUCAUGGUUUUUGGAGCAGCUUGGCGGUAGAACACAUCACACGUGACCACCUUUUAUUUGGGUUGUCCACCAGAAAUUGAACAAAGAAAGAAAAGUUAGUGGCAAUUUCUUUUUUUCAAGUAAAGCAGCUUUCGAGGCGGGUUGUCUAUGUCGUGUGUGACCAUCUGCGUAGAUCCUGGGGAGAGAAACAUGGGCUUCACCGAUCUGAAGUUGUCAAAAAAGGGUCUUGAAGUAAAAACAUAGAGACACAAAACCAAGACAAACUGGAACGUUAUCACAAUUUAACCACCUAUUCAACUAGUUCUAAAAAUUCCGGACAUUUCCUUAGCAGUCAUGUGUGGUUGUGACUACGCUAGUAAACCUGAAGCCGCCUUUCUUUCACAUAUGAGCUGAAGGAUUUCCAGUUUUCCUCUACACUCGCCUGAUCCAGAGGAGCCCAGCAACGUGUGUGGAGGUGUGCCUCCUGCUCCCCCUGUCCUCUCCAGGAUCUUCAAAAGGAGGAGGUCCCACACAGGGUGUUUGAAGAGCCCAUUGACACUCCCCUGUGGGUGGUGAACUGGCAGAUGCUCAAACCACACAACUCUAUCUCCGCAGGAGGAGAGGCCUUCUCUUUCUGCUUUUGUGUCUGCCUUAUUCCACCUUUACUUGAUUGUCAAUGCUUUCUAAGUGGAUUUUAAUGACUGAACUAGAUAUUUACAAAAGCUAAGGUCUCAUUCUCGAAUGUUUCUGCUAUUUAUCAGGUGUCAAAAGUAACUGAGUGACUAAAUGAGCGACGCAAAGCCUGGAACUUGUUUGCAUCAUGAAAUAUAUGAGGAAACAGUCUUUUAUAACUGCCAUUUCUGGGGCAGCUGCUCUGCUUUUCUAGUAUUUUUCUACAGUAUUAUAUUUGGAAUUGACAGAGAUGUUCAGGAACUACUGCCAAGUGACGGUGAAAAAAAUAUUUUAGACACAUUGCUGUUGAGUAUAGUGAGUCGAUUGCCUGCUGUGUUUUAAAAAGUCAUAGAAUAAUAAUUUUCAACACCACAAUCUACUUUUUUUCUGUCUUGAGCACCAGUCCUCCGAAAUGCCAGUGCCUGGAUUCAAUAUAUUCCAACAGUACUCUCAAAAAUUCACUUUUUAAACAUGAAAAAAGCACUUUAAACUAGUAAUACUGGUGAAAGGUGAGAUUACAACGCCGAUUACAAACGUGGCUGUUUAGUUUGACAUUUAGUAUACAGUUAUUGUCUUCCCUGGUGUCAGUCCUUUCACUCCGCAUGCUGUUUGUACCGGCAGGUUCACCGACUCCCCAGCUUCCCAGCACUUCCACCAUCAUAGCUUCGCACACGUGGGAUGGCUGCCAUGCUGUCUGUUCGGCGGGCAGCAUCCUGGGUGGCGGUGUUGAAGUUUGGACUCGCAGCUCUGCACCUGCUCAUCCGGCCUGACCGCUCACGCUCCUCCGACAGGACUCCCACUGCGUUGAAAGUGGAGACCUUCUCGCCGUCUCUCGUUAAUUCUUCAUCUCUUUCCUUCUGCCAAUUUUUUCAGUCCAUCUCCUUCACUCUGCGUGUCCAUCUAUCACCGACUACUCCUCAGUCAUGUCAGUGUGAGGGGAGCGAGGUGUCUUACAGAGAAGAAGCUGCAGCUUUGUUUCAUAUUAAACCUCGCAGAGAUCUCUGGCUGUCUGCUGCUAUCACACUCAGUCUCACACUGAACACAACAGCUACUUUUCCUGACUGUUGGAGGAAACUGGAGUUCCUGCAGGUAACUUGGUCAUCGUCCUGACCCUCGUGUGGUGUUUAUGAAAGUGAGCGUUGGCUUGUCCACACCGGCAUGUUGCACAGGUGGUUUGUGAUGUUGAGAUGAAGCUCUGUGAGGUGUUGAGGCUUUCUAUGCUAUCUGUUCGACACAUGGGUCGAUGCUUCACGAAGGGCUUCAUUUGCUCUAUGGUACCACCAAGUGGACAUUGAAUGUAAAACUGGCACCAAGAAUGAGGAUUUAUUAUAUUUCUUAUCAUGAAAAGAUGCGAGACAACGGCUGGGAAAGAGGUCAGUCUUACAACACACUCAUGUUUCAGCUGGUUUCUGAGAGGACUUCCUGUGUGUGUAAAAAAGAUCAACAUAAAUGCUGCUGACAAAUUCAUUGAUAUUGAAUGUUACACGACUAUUUUGUGCUUAUUGUCAAAAGAAAGUCUUGUUUUUGAUGACAGACACCAGCAAUGCACUAUUACCUGCGGCUAUCACCUGACAAUGCUUGUAUUAGAGUUGUAUUUCAGUGAUAAUGAUUAUCUGAAACUAAUGAUAUUAACAUGAAAACUCCUACUGUGAAAGACCAUUAUCAUGAUCAUUAUAAAUAUUUACUUUGGUAUAGAACACUUAUAAUUUACAGAACUUCACCAUGUUCACAAAAAGCUCAUUUUUAUAUUUGCAUUUUAUAUAUCUGAGCCCAUGUGGUACCAUUAGAUAGGUUUGGGGUAGUCCAAAUAUUAUGUAAAUAUCAACAUAUGGUCAUUUAUAAACCAUAAUAAAUAUGGAUGUAGCAUUGGUGUAUCUGAAACAGUGUUAGCAUUUGGCUAUUUCAUGUUAAAGUUCCAUAUCACAUCACAUCAUAUGUUUGUCUAUGUUCAUAAUGUGUUUAUGUCUGCGUCCUAGGAAGCAAUUGUAGAAUAUAAAUACUAAUAAUUUCUUCACAAAAAAAGUCUUUUUCACAUUUUUAAUCCCCUCCAAUAGAAAAAAUAAAAACUUGUGGGACACAGAUGAGGCAGGGGUGUAUAAACCACCCAUGAGCUAUAAGGUUGUAUAAACAUGUUGUGUUUUCCUCCUAUAUUAUUAGGAGUCAAUGAGUGGCAUUUAUCUUAUUUUUUGUCUGCAGGUGGGUGGAUCCAGUUGAUGAAGUGGUGACCGUGAGGAGGAAGGCUUUACCAAAACCUUGGAUCCUGCAGUGGCAGCAACGAUGCUCAAGGAUUGCAGCAUGUGGAGCUUCUCAAGCAGCUGCCUCCUCAGGCAGCCUUUGCCUCUGGACUUUGCAACAGUCCCGUCAGCUCCCCCCCCUGUGAGUGGAGCAGCUCGGACAAGAGAGGUCUCACUUUGAAUCCAGACACUGUCCUCUCUUCUGACAGCUCACUUGUGGCAUCAUCAACUUUGCAAAGCACUCAGAAACUGUGUGAUCAUCUCAUGUUGUUUUCAUGCAAGGAGGGCAUUGUUAUUGCGUGAGGCAUGUUACGACAAGAGGAAACGUUGAAUGGU
Synchiropus splendidus (mandarinfish) is the source of this 10169-nucleotide long non-coding RNA. RefSeq lists it as uncharacterized. The record is from RefSeq and is a predicted model, not a curated record. NCBI's taxonomy places the organism in Eukaryota, Metazoa, Chordata, Actinopteri, Syngnathiformes, Callionymidae. The transcript has 5 exons.